RNAcentral lists this ribosomal RNA (438 nucleotides) under uncultured bacterium. RNAcentral's name for it is "partial 16S ribosomal RNA". It matches the Rfam family "Bacterial small subunit ribosomal RNA", at positions 339 to 795 of the family's 1533-position model. The record is from RNAcentral.
CUACGGGAUGCAGCAGUGGGGAAUAUUGCACAAUGGAGGAAACUCUGAUGCAGCAACGCCGCGUGGAGGAUGACACUUUUCGGAGCGUAAACUCCUUUUAUAUAGGAAGAAGAUGACGGUACUAUAUGAAUAAGCGCCGGCUAACUCCGUGCCAGCAGCCGCGGUAAUACGGAGGGCGCAAGCGUUACUCGGAAUCACUGGGCGUAAAGAGCGUGUAGGCGGAUUAAAAAGUCAGAAGUGAAAUCCUAUAGCUUAACUAUAGAACUGCUUCUGAAACUCUUAAUCUAGAAUAUGGGAGAGGUAGAUGGAAUUUCUGGUGUAGGGGUAAAAUCCGUAGAGAUCAGAAGGAAUACCGAUUGCGAAGGCGAUCUACUAGAACAUUAUUGACGCUGAGACGCGAAAGCGUGGGGAGCAAACAGGAUUAGAUACCGUGUAGUC